GGACGGCGACCGUCGAGACGAACGAGCACACUCGCCUGGACUUCAGAUCAGGUGUGGCCGUGUGGGGUUCCCGGGCCUCGCGCGAAGACUUGAUUGGGUCCGCGAGGAUGAGAAGGCCGGCGGCCGGCGGCCGACGGUAGAUCUGAGCUGAACUUUUUCUUUAAAGUGCUAUGUGAUCGACAGGGAGGCGGCCCAUCGCCCACAAUGUGGGCUGAAGCGAUUUUGCCGGGUAAACGAUUAUGACUGCCUUGCUGUUUUUUGUUUGGAGCCCCGCACUUUUGUUUUCAGGUGGGGCGGCUAGUAGCAACCCCACAAUCACAUCAUCACAUGCCAUUUAAAAAUAACAAAUGUCUACAUUUCAGGCCAAACGUGUAG
Molecule: long non-coding RNA, 375 nt
Filed under: Hordeum vulgare
Lineage: Eukaryota; Viridiplantae; Streptophyta; Magnoliopsida; Poales; Poaceae
Description: long non-coding RNA (HVUL_LNC016527)
Source: RNAcentral